Molecule: ribosomal RNA, 253 nt
Filed under: uncultured bacterium
Lineage: Bacteria
Description: partial 16S ribosomal RNA
Rfam family: Bacterial small subunit ribosomal RNA
Source: RNAcentral
UACGUAGGGUGCAAGCGUUAAUCGGAAUUACUGGGCGUAAAGCGUGCGCAGGCGGUUUUGUAAGUCUGUCGUGAAAUCCCCGGGCUUAACCUGGGAAUGGCAUUUGGGACUGCAAGGCUCGAGUGCGGCAGAGGAGACUGGAAUUCCUGGUGUAGCAGUGAAAUGCGUAGAUAUCAGGAGGAACACCGAUGGCGAAGGCAGGUCUCUGGGCUGACACUGACGCUCAUGCACGAAAGCGUGGGGAGCAAACAGG